Molecule: ribosomal RNA, 252 nt
Filed under: uncultured bacterium
Lineage: Bacteria
Description: partial 16S ribosomal RNA
Rfam family: Bacterial small subunit ribosomal RNA
Source: RNAcentral
UACGGAGGAUGCGAGCGUUAUCCGGAUUUAUUGGGUUUAAAGGGUGCGUAGGCGGAUCGUUAAGUUAGUGGUCAAAUUGAGGGGCUCAACCCCUUCCCGCCAUUGAAACUGGCGAUCUUGAGUGGAAGAGAAGUAUGCGGAAUGCGUGGUGUAGCGGUGAAAUGCAUAGAUAUCACGCAGAACCCCGAUUGCGAAGGCAGCAUGCCGGCUUCCUACUGACGCUGAAGCACGAAAGCGUGGGGAUCGAACAGG